This 383-nucleotide ribosomal RNA is filed under the name uncultured eukaryote. RNAcentral describes it as "partial 18S ribosomal RNA". It matches the Rfam family "Eukaryotic small subunit ribosomal RNA", at positions 592 to 976 of the family's 1831-position model. The record is from RNAcentral.
CAAUAGCGUAUAUUAGAGUUGUUGCAGUUAAAAAGCUCGUAGUUGGAUUUCUGGUAGGAGUGACCGUUCCGAACUUGAUUGUUCGUGUAUUGUGUUCUCUCCAGCCAUCCUUGUGGAGAACUUUUCUUGCAUUAAUUUGUAGGGAUUGGGACCCGCAUCGUUUACUGUGAAAAAAUUAGAGUGUUUAAAGCAGGCAAUCGCUUGAAUACAUUAGCAUGGAAUAAUAAGAUAGGACUUUGGUACUAUUUUGUUGGUUUGCAUACCAAAUUAAUGAUCAACAGGAACAGUUUGAGGAUAUUCGUAUGAACAUGUCAGAGGUGAAAUUCUUGGAUUUUGAUCAGACGAACUACUGCGAAAGCAUUUAUCAAGGAUGUUUUCAUUAA